RNAcentral lists this ribosomal RNA (636 nucleotides) under Salmonella enterica subsp. enterica serovar Newport str. A-211-RVH. RNAcentral describes it as "bacterial SSU rRNA". It matches the Rfam family "Bacterial small subunit ribosomal RNA", at positions 1 to 626 of the family's 1533-position model. Lineage: Bacteria; Pseudomonadati; Pseudomonadota; Gammaproteobacteria; Enterobacterales; Enterobacteriaceae. The record is from RNAcentral.
AAAUUGAAGAGUUUGAUCAUGGCUCAGAUUGAACGCUGGCGGCAGGCCUAACACAUGCAAGUCGAACGGUAACAGGAAGCAGCUUGCUGUUUCGCUGACGAGUGGCGGACGGGUGAGUAAUGUCUGGGAAACUGCCUGAUGGAGGGGGAUAACUACUGGAAACGGUGGCUAAUACCGCAUAACGUCGCAAGACCAAAGAGGGGGACCUUCGGGCCUCUUGCCAUCAGAUGUGCCCAGAUGGGAUUAGCUAGUUGGUGAGGUAACGGCUCACCAAGGCGACGAUCCCUAGCUGGUCUGAGAGGAUGACCAGCCACACUGGAACUGAGACACGGUCCAGACUCCUACGGGAGGCAGCAGUGGGGAAUAUUGCACAAUGGGCGCAAGCCUGAUGCAGCCAUGCCGCGUGUAUGAAGAAGGCCUUCGGGUUGUAAAGUACUUUCAGCGGGGAGGAAGGUGUUGCGGUUAAUAACCGCAGCAAUUGACGUUACCCGCAGAAGAAGCACCGGCUAACUCCGUGCCAGCAGCCGCGGUAAUACGGAGGGUGCAAGCGUUAAUCGGAAUUACUGGGCGUAAAGCGCACGCAGGCGGUCUGUCAAGUCGGAUGUGAAAUCCCCGGGCUCAACCUGGGAACUGCAU